GACCUAAUAGCGAAAUUGGAAUCGCAUUCACUCCCCUUAGGUUGAUCUCAGGGAGGUUAUGUGGAAGUUCUUCGUUCGAACCAAGGUUAGGACA
Mycena rebaudengoi is the source of this 94-nucleotide non-coding RNA. Lineage: Eukaryota; Fungi; Basidiomycota; Agaricomycetes; Agaricales; Mycenaceae. The record is from the annotation of a GenBank genome assembly.